GAAUCCGGAAGUCCCCAAAGGCUGUAUUUCCGAGAAGACCCGAAGCCACCCGAGUUCCCUCGAGAAUCAUCGGCGAUGGGUGAGUCAGAUACACCGGAACCUAUGCAACUGGGCAGAACUAGAUUAUCGCCUAGGGAACGUUCACAUAGACUAAGUUCCAACAGUUGUCUGUACUGUGGGGCUGCGGGACAUUAUAUAGCCACCUCCCGGUUAAGAGACCUAUUUCGUUAAUCUGCUGGUUUUAGGAAAUCACAGUGAGGCUAUACAGCUUCCUCUCAUUUAUUUCCCCCCCCCAUUGUCCUGUUGUGUUGGGAUUUUCUUGACUCAAAAAACACCCCCGUUAUUGAGUUCCAUCCUGAGUUGGGGUCCGUUCUGCCAUUCCCAAUGCCUCAAAGCAGCGCAGCAGCCUUCCCUGAGACGGCGUCCUAAGGGCUUAAGUCAAGCCUCGGAUUUCUCUGCCGUCCCAUGUCCUCCUGGAGGUCUUCAGCAAGGCACGGGCUACUUCUCUUCCCCCGCAUCGUCCCUACGAUUGUGCCAUUGGCCUUCUCCCAGGCACCACACCGCCUCCUGGUCAACUAUAUUCCCUAUCCAGCCAGGAGACCAAGGCCAUGGAGGAGUAUAUUAAUGACUCUCUGACUGCUGGAGGCAUCUGUCCUUCUGCAUCCCCUGCC
RNAcentral lists this long non-coding RNA (671 nucleotides) under Salmo salar (Atlantic salmon). Its description in RNAcentral is "lncRNA (ENSSSAG00000099857.1)". The record is from RNAcentral. Lineage: Eukaryota; Metazoa; Chordata; Actinopteri; Salmoniformes; Salmonidae.